Molecule: small RNA, 650 nt
Filed under: Pongo abelii (Sumatran orangutan)
Lineage: Eukaryota; Metazoa; Chordata; Mammalia; Primates; Hominidae
Description: retained intron
Source: RNAcentral
UUGGCGCACCCUCACCAUGGCCCUGGGUGUGGGAUCAUGGAUCCCAGGGUUCCAAGAGGAAUCAGUGAUGACCCAGUCUGCCCCCCAGUGCUAGUUACUAGGCCUGCACCUGAAAACUAAGCCCCUUUGGCCUGAAGGGUGGGGAAGUGACCUGGGCAGGCCCAGCGGGGCCUGGGCCCUGACAUGCCCAUCUCUGCUGUAUCUUUUCAGGAAAUCAGUACGCUGAGGGGCCAAGUGGGAGGCCAGGUCAGUGUGGAGGUGGAUUCGGCUCCGGGCACCGAUCUCGCCAAGAUCCUGAGUGACAUGCGAAGCCAAUAUGAGGUCAUGGCCGAGCAGAACCGGAAGGAUGCUGAAGCCUGGUUCACCAGCCGGACUGAAGAAUUGAACCGGGAGGUCGCUGGCCACACGGAGCAGCUCCAGAUGAGCAGGUCCGAGGUUACUGACCUGCGGCGCACCCUUCAGGGACUUGAGAUUGAGCUGCAGUCACAGCUGAGCAUGGUAUGUGUCCCCCCUCCCCUGCUUCCCUGGGCAAUGCACACUUAUGCCCUUGCAGCCUAGGGCAGCCUGGCUGGUGGCUGUGCCCAUGCCUUCUCCGGGAACCAGGCUCUGCUGAGUCACACCCCCCUUUCCCUAUCUUCAGAAAGCUGCCU